This 406-nucleotide ribosomal RNA is filed under the name uncultured bacterium. RNAcentral's name for it is "partial 16S ribosomal RNA". It matches the Rfam family "Bacterial small subunit ribosomal RNA", at positions 30 to 526 of the family's 1533-position model. The record is from RNAcentral.
AUUGAACGCUGGCGGGAGGCUUAACACAUGCAAGUCGAACGAGUGGCGGACGGGUGAGUAAUGUAUGGGAAAGUGCCCGAUGGAGGGGGAUAACUACUGGAAAGUGUAGCUGAUACCGCAUACUAUCAGACAGGCCUAUAUGGGAUUAGCUAGUAGGGGGGGUAAAGGCUCACAAAGGCGAAGAUCCCUAGCUGGUCUGAGAGGAUGACCAGCCACACUGGGACUGAGACACGGUCCAGACUCCUACGGGAGGCAGCAGUGGGGAAUAUUGCACAAUGGGCGCAAGCCUGAUGCAGCCAUGCCGCGUGUAUGAAGAAGGCCUUCGGGUUGUAAAGCACUUUCAGCAGGGAGGCGUUACCCGCAGAAGAAGCACCGGCUAACUCCGUGCCAGCAGCCGCGGUAAUAC